GGACUACCCGGGUAUCUAAUCCCGUUUGCUCCCCUAGCUUUCGCGCCUCAGCGUCAGAAGAGGUCCAGUCCGUCGCUUUCGCCACCGGCGUUCCUUCCGAUAUCAACGCAUUUCACCGCUCCACCGGAAGUUCCACAGACCCCUACCUCCCUCUAGGCCACCAGUAUCGAAAGCUGUUCUCCGGUUAAGCCGAAGUAUUUCACCCCCGACUUGAUGGCCCGCCUACGCGCCCUUUAAGCCCAGUGAUUCCGAACAACGUUAGGACGGUUCGUCUUACCGCGGCUGCUGGCAC
RNAcentral lists this ribosomal RNA (292 nucleotides) under uncultured Planctomycetota bacterium. RNAcentral's name for it is "uncultured planctomycete partial 16S ribosomal RNA". The record is from RNAcentral. Lineage: Bacteria; Pseudomonadati; Planctomycetota.